AUUUAUGUAGUUUAAANAAAACAUUACACUUUCACUGUAAAAAUAUUAUUCAUAAUCAUAAAUU
RNAcentral lists this transfer RNA (64 nucleotides) under Panesthia tryoni tegminifera. RNAcentral describes it as "tRNA-Glu". It matches the Rfam family "tRNA". From Rfam's summary of the family: Transfer RNA (tRNA) molecules are approximately 80 nucleotides in length. Their secondary structure includes four short double-helical elements and three loops (D, anti-codon, and T loops). The record is from RNAcentral. Lineage: Eukaryota; Metazoa; Arthropoda; Insecta; Blattodea; Blaberidae.